Molecule: ribosomal RNA, 465 nt
Filed under: uncultured bacterium
Lineage: Bacteria
Description: partial 16S ribosomal RNA
Rfam family: Bacterial small subunit ribosomal RNA
Source: RNAcentral
CCUACGGGAGGCAGCAGUGGGGAAUAUUGCGCAAUGGACGCAAGUCUGACGCAGCGACGCCGCGUGAGGGAUGAAGGUUUUCGGAUUGUAAACCUCUGUCAGGAGGGAAGAAAGCGCAUGGCGUAAAUCAGCCAUGCGUUGACGGUACCUACAAAGGAAGCGCCGGCUAACUCCGUGCCAGCAGCCGCGGUAAUACGGAGGGCGCGAGCGUUAAUCGGAAUUACUGGGCGUAAAGCGCGCGUAGGCUGUUGUGUAAGUUGGGGGUGAAAUCCCACGGCUCAACCGUGGAACUGCCUGUGAUACUGCGCGACUUGAGUCCGGGAGAGGGUGGCGGAAUUCCAGGUGUAGGGGUGAAAUGCGUAGAUAUCUGGAGGAACAUCAGUGGCGAAGGCGGCCACCUGGACCGGUAUUGACGCUGAGGCGCGAAAGCGUGGGGAGCAAACAGGAUUAGAUACCCGAGUAGUC